This 664-nucleotide ribosomal RNA is filed under the name uncultured fungus. RNAcentral's name for it is "eukaryotic LSU rRNA". The stretch from base 214 to 367 matches the Rfam family "5.8S ribosomal RNA". The record is from RNAcentral. Lineage: Eukaryota; Fungi.
AAGUCGUAACAAGGUUUCCGUAGGUGAACCUGCGGAAGGAUCAUUAGUGAGUACAAACGCUUGGGUGUCUCUGCUUCGGCAAGCCCCUCGCACCCUUCACAUCCAUAACACCUGUGCACUGUAGGAUGACUCUCUGGACUUCGGUCCUUGGGUCGUCUGACCUUUUUACAAACUAUUAUAUGUAACAAAUGUAGUCUUAUUAUAACAAAAUAAAACUUUCAACAACGGAUCUCUUGGCUCACACAUCAAUGAAGAACGCAGCGAAACGCGAUAGGUAAUGUGAAUUGCAGAAUUCAGUGAAUCAUCGAAUCUUUGAACGCAUCUUGCGCUUGCUGGUAUUCCGGCAAGCAUGCCUGUUUGAGUGUCAUGAAAAUUAUCAACCAUGACUUGGGUUUAGGCCCUCGUUCUUGGCUUGGAUUUGGGUGCUUGCGGUCUUGUGCUGCUCACCUUAAAAGGAUUAGCUGGACAUGUCUUUUGACUUGGUUCUACUUGGCGUAAUAAGUAUUUCGCUGAGGACAUCCCUUCUGGGGUGGCCAAGACUCUGGCAAACGUCUGCUUUCUAACUCGACUGUCCUCGGACAUCACUUUUUAUGAUCUGGCCUCAAAUCAGGUAGGACUACCCGCUGAACUUAAUCAUAUCAAUAAGCGGAGGAAAAGAAACUAA